This is a long non-coding RNA of Brachypodium distachyon (stiff brome), 2675 nucleotides long. RefSeq lists it as uncharacterized. The record is from RefSeq and is a predicted model, not a curated record. The transcript has 3 exons. Lineage: Eukaryota; Viridiplantae; Streptophyta; Magnoliopsida; Poales; Poaceae.
UUCAUCAGCAAAUUAAUUUUAUUAAAUACUCACUCCUUCUUAUACUAAGUGACUCAAAUUUUUCUAAAUAUAGACGUAUAUAUACACUAAAAUACGUCUAGAUACAUCUAAUAUCUCGUCACUUGAUAUGGGACGGAAGGAGUAUGUCUUUUUGGUGGGAAAAUUGUAGUAAAUUCAGUAUAAUAUAGUUCAGCGAAAGCAAGCUAAACCCUUAGCAAUGUACUUCCUAAUUCCAAAAUAAAGACUUCACUUAAACCUUGCAAUGGUCAGCAAUAAUUUUUGCGAAAACUGAAAAACCUACAUGUUUCAAACUUGUUGUUGGGGAGGUUAUGACCAUCCUAAACUGAAUGCGAUAUUCUUUUUUAGAAGUUUCAUGGUAAGUACUAAAAAAAGUAUUUAAAAAAAAUGAGGCAAUUGGAUACUGAAUGUUUGUUUACUCCAUCAACUAAAAAUUUGUAUAAAAUGCAUUCUAAAAUUUACUUUCGGUUUCAAUUUACUCCAAUGACGUGCUUUGUACAAUUUUCCACCGUCGUGGCUGCCACACUAGCGAAAGAAGCACAUACAACAUGAGGAACCGAAGUGGCCGGGCAUCAUGUAAUUUUUGUAUUUAGGACCAGACAUUUUGCAAUCUUCACAGCUACGCCUCUCUCAUUUUCUUUAUCUUUCGACACAAGACGACUAAGAAAGUGGUGAACCGUGAGGGGGCAAGCAAGGUACCGGACACGCAUGACUAUCAGCCCGACAUAGAUGGAAUCUUGACAUCGAUGACCUAGCGAUCUUAGCCCAACCAUCAUCAAUCCUCCUCCACUUCUCCUUUCGGUCGACCAUAGUCUGCUUCCAUUUGUCCCCUAGUCAUUACACGUUCAAGGAGCAGACAAGAACAAGACGGCCGCAAGCAUCGUCUACUAUUUGCAUGUCGCCGCCUUCUUUCUGUAUGAUUAUCCAUGCUGAAUUGAAAGAUGGUUUGGGGAGAAAAGGGGAAUUUUCGAAAACUAGAGAUCUGACAAGGGUUUUAGAGCAAAUUUGAGACAUAUUGAGUGAUCUUUUGCAAAAUAAGCUAGCAUGGAAGAAAUUUACUUUCUCGCCGUGCAUGCGUCAUUCGUCGGCAUGGCACACCAUGGUGGCAAAAACUGUCCGAGAUACAUAGCUUUGGAUUAAGGUGAAUCUAAAAGCUAAUUCUAGGGUGCACUUUUCUACCGUGUUCAAGUUGAUGGAAAGGUGAACUUGCCAAAUUCAUGUAUCCACCAUGCAGUUACCUAUUUCCUAAAUGACCUGCCUUUUUCAGUGACAUUUAGUGAAAAAUUCAAGAGAAAAAAACAGAGAUUGGAUGCACAAGUUUGGGUUCAGAGACAGGGCUCACGGGAAUUUAUUUGUGCACAAGGCUAUGACGACAGGGACAGCAGUGAGAAUCCCUGAACAAUAAAAUACUAAAAUCCAAGGGUUUGACAUGGGGUUCAUCAAGCUCAUGCCUUUGUUUUCUAUGGAUUAGUACCUCAUUGCCCUUGUUUAUUCCUGCCAUUCCUCUGCAUCUUGACCUUUUCCUUUUUGCACAUUCAGAGGUACACGCAUCUUCCUUGGCAUUUGCUAUUGCCUUCCUGGUUCCCUCUUCUACACAUUUUAUUAAUUAUUAUUAAUCAGUGGUUACAACUUGUGAUCAUCUGGAGAUUUGUAUAAUGGAGCAUACAUGUCAAUUUUAUUUCCUUUGAGUUAGAUGGAUAGGUGAUGGUCCAUUGCCUCCAUGGUGUAGCCGUGGUAUUUGUUUUUUUCCAGUGGUGGCCCCUCUAAAUAACUCUCAGUUGGUACUAUAGACUGUAGCACUAAUGAAGACAAUUAAGCACGAAAUUUUCUGCGCCAACAAGGACCUACUACUAGGCAUGAAGAUAACACUAUCCAAAUUCUAUCCUAAAAAAAUCCCAAACAGAAGUCACUAAACAGGACAGGAACAACAUCUCAUAUUUUUAAUCAGCAACCAAUCGUGCAACACCUAUGCUUCUACUUUGCACAAACCCCACAUGCAGUUGCCAACUUUCCAUGUCAUGAAUCCUGGUGAUACUUGAUGAGAUCCAGAGAAAGGCUUGGGUGGCUUCUUCAAGGAUCCCAUCUGUCUUUCUUUUUUUUUGCGGAUAUCCCAUCUGUCUUUCCCAUAAAAUAAAUAAAUCACUUUCCUGUUGAAAGGAAGGAAAACUCAUGAUAGCUCCCAAAGAGUAGAUUCAGGAUUGGAUCAUGGGGCACACAAAAUGGGGGUGCUGAUGCUGUGCCAUUUGCAGGACAGAGGACAAUGAGAAGCAUGGGGGUGGUGGUGAGGCAUCUCCAUCCAUCAAUCACUGUCAAUUCUAAGCUUUUCUUCUUCACAAAAACCGGAGAUGUUAUGGAAUAUGGAUUUUUGGUUCAUUAAGACCUUGAGAGGCUGCAGUUGUACGUGUGGAGAGAAAACUUUGAAGUCAAGGGGAGACUAGAAAAAGUUCCAAAGCUUACUCAUUCUGCUCUUGAAUUUAUUUCAGUCGUGUCUUUUCAGUUCUUGGUCAACAGUCAAACCGUGUGGAUGCUGCACCAAGAUAUUUUCCAUCAGUGGACAGAACCUUGAUUGAUGGCGUUCUGUAAUUUGUGAUAAAAUGAUAGUAGCUUCACCGGUUUCAGAAGUGCCGCAUGGAGAUUUACCGUGUGUUAAAAGUUAA